GAUGAACGCUGGCGGCGUGCCUAAUACAUGCAAGUCGAGCGAACAGACGAGGAGCUUGCUCCUCUGACGUUAGCGGCGGACGGGUGAGUAACACGUGGAUAACCUACCUAUAAGACUGGGAUAACUUCGGGAAACCGGAGCUAAUACCGGAUAAUAUAUUGAACCGCAUGGUUCAAUAGUGAAAGACGGUUUUGCUGUCACUUAUAGAUGGAUCCGCGCCGCAUUAGCUAGUUGGUAAGGUAACGGCUUACCAAGGCAACGAUGCGUAGCCGACCUGAGAGGGUGAUCGGCCACACUGGAACUGAGACACGGUCCAGACUCCUACGGGAGGCAGCAGUAGGGAAUCUUCCGCAAUGGGCGAAAGCCUGACGGAGCAACGCCGCGUGAGUGAUGAAGGUCUUCGGAUCGUAAAACUCUGUUAUUAGGGAAGAACAAAUGUGUAAGUAACUAUGCUCGUCUUGACGGUACCUAAUCAGAAAGCCACGGGUAGCUACGUG
RNAcentral lists this ribosomal RNA (497 nucleotides) under uncultured bacterium. RNAcentral describes it as "partial 16S ribosomal RNA". It matches the Rfam family "Bacterial small subunit ribosomal RNA", at positions 28 to 507 of the family's 1533-position model. The record is from RNAcentral.